CCGGAGCCCCCGCGCGGAUGGCACAUUCGGGGGAGAUGGAGGAGUCUUGCACGGUGUACGUGGUGCGAGCGUGGCGCCGUGCAGUCCUCAGACGGAGAGAGGGAGGAGUGGUGAGAGCCCGGCCGGUGCCAGGCUCGGUGGUGGCCAGGGGCGGCCGAGGUCAGCCCUGGUCAGCUCGCCUGCCUUCCUCCUGUCUUUCAGUCGAACGCAGCCCGGGCUGCUGGCUCAGGUGCGUCCGGGCAAUACCAGGAAGUGUGAACGACUUUCGGAAAGAAUGUGAAUAAUUUGGUGUGCGCUGGAAAGCCGGGAAGCCCCUGGAUACAAGCAGUGUCGCUAGAAAGCCAGUUUGCUGAAGAGCCACCUGCUAAACUCCACUAGUGUCGUCACUACGCUCCCUGAUGAUGGCCUGGAAAAGCAGCAGAAGAAGGUCCAAGUGUCUGAACUCCUGCCACUCAUGCGGUAGACCUGGAAGAAGCUCCUGGCUUCUGCCUGGCCCAGCCAUGGCUGCUAUGACUAUCUGGGGAGUGAAUCAGUGGAUGGAAGAUCUGUCUGUCUGCCUCUCCUUCUCUCUCUGUAACUCUGACUCUCUAAAUAAAUAAAUAAAUAAAUAAAUCUUAAAAUGUAAUCUAUUUGUUGAAUUCUAUAUUUACUGGAGGAUUAUUAUUAUGAUUAUAAAAUAAGCUGAAAGUGUGUCACUGUAAAAAUUAAAAGAAUAAGGAAGGAGGAUGGAGGGUG
Long non-coding RNA from Lepus europaeus (European hare), 735 nucleotides. RefSeq lists it as uncharacterized. The record is from RefSeq and is a predicted model, not a curated record. The transcript has 3 exons. Lineage: Eukaryota; Metazoa; Chordata; Mammalia; Lagomorpha; Leporidae.